Molecule: ribosomal RNA, 483 nt
Filed under: uncultured bacterium
Lineage: Bacteria
Description: bacterial SSU rRNA
Rfam family: Bacterial small subunit ribosomal RNA
Source: RNAcentral
GAUGAACGCUGGCGGCGUGCCUAACACAUGCAAGUCGAGCGGAGAUUAAAAAGCUUGCUUUUUAAUCUUAGCGGCGGACGGGUGAGUAACGCGUGGGUAACCUGCCCUAUACACACGGAUAACAUAUCGAAAGAUAUGCUAAUACGAGAUAACACAUUUUUAAGGCAUCUUAGAAAUGUCAAAGCGUUAGCGGUAUAGGAUGGACCCGCGUCCCAUUAGCUAGUUGGUGAGGUAAAAGCUUACCAAGGCGACGAUGGGUAGCCGACCUGAGAGGGUGAUCGGCCACACUGGAACUGAGACACGGUCCAGACUCCUACGGGAGGCAGCAGUGGGGAAUAUUGCACAAUGGGGGAAACCCUGAUGCAGCAACGCCGCGUGAGCGAUGAAGGCCUUCGGGUCGUAAAGCUCUGUCCUAAGGGAAGAUAAUGACGGUACCUUAGGAGGAAGCCCCGGCUAACUACGUGCCAGCCGCCGCCGUAACAC